This 497-nucleotide ribosomal RNA is filed under the name uncultured bacterium. RNAcentral's name for it is "partial 16S ribosomal RNA". It matches the Rfam family "Bacterial small subunit ribosomal RNA", at positions 28 to 507 of the family's 1533-position model. The record is from RNAcentral.
GAUGAACGCUGGCGGCGUGCCUAAUACAUGCAAGUCGAGCGAACGGACGAGAAGCUUGCUUUUCUGAUGUUAGCGGCGGACGGGUGAGUAACACGUGGAUAACCUACCUAUAAGACUGGGAUAACUUCGGGAAACCGGAGCUAAUACCGGAUAAUAUUUUGAACCGCAUGGUUCAAAAGUGAAAGACGGUCUUGCUGUCACUUAUAGAUGGAUCCGCGCUGCAUUAGCUGGUUGGUAAGGUAACGGCUUACCAAGGCAACGAUGCAUAGCCGACCUGAGAGGUUGAUCGGCCACACUGGAACUGAGACACGGUCCAGACUCCUACGGGAGGCAGCAGUAGGGAAUCUUCCGCAAUGGGCGAAAGCCUGACGGAGCAACGCCGCGUGAGUGAUGAAGGUCUUCGGAUCGUAAAACUCUGUUAUUAGGGAAGAACAUAUGUGUAAGUAACUGUGCACAUCUUGACGGUACCUAAUCAGAAAGCCACGGCUAACUACGUG